AACGAACGCUGGCGGCAGGCUUAACACAUGCAAGUCGAACGGUUGUAGCAAUACAGCAGUGGCGCACGGGUGAGUAACGCGUGGGAAUGUACCCUUCAGUCGGGAAUAACAGCGGGAAACUGCUGCUAAUACUCGAUAUUAUCUCCGGAUGAAAGAUUUAUCGCUGAAGGAUCAGCCCGCGUCAGAUUAGCUGGUUGGUGGGGUAAGAGCCUACCAAGGCUGCGAUCAGUCGCUGGUCUGAGAGGAUGAUCAGCCACACUGGGAUUGAGAACGGCCC
This 277-nucleotide ribosomal RNA is filed under the name uncultured bacterium. Its description in RNAcentral is "partial 16S ribosomal RNA". It matches the Rfam family "Bacterial small subunit ribosomal RNA", at positions 29 to 332 of the family's 1533-position model. The record is from RNAcentral.